UACGUAGGGUGCGAGCGUUAAUCGGAAUUACUGGGCGUAAAGCGUGCGCAGGCGGUUUUGUAAGCCAGAUGUGAAAUCCCCGGGCUCAACCUGGGAAUGGCAUUUGGGACUGCAAGGCUUGAGUGCGGCAGAGGAGACUGGAAUUCCUGGUGUAGCAGUGAAAUGCGUAGAUAUCAGGAGGAAUACCGAUGGCGAAGGCGGCGCUCUGGGCCGGUACUGACACUGAGGAGCGAAAGCGUGGGUAGCAAACAGG
This 253-nucleotide ribosomal RNA is filed under the name uncultured bacterium. Its description in RNAcentral is "partial 16S ribosomal RNA". It matches the Rfam family "Bacterial small subunit ribosomal RNA", at positions 524 to 776 of the family's 1533-position model. The record is from RNAcentral.